CAUUGGUGAGAAUCCAAUGCCCCAAAAACCUAAGGGUUCCUCCAAAAGGUUCAUCCACGGAGCGUGAGUCAGGGCCUAAGAUCAGGCCGAAAGGCGUAUUCGAUGGACAAUAGGUGAAUAUUCCUGUACUACCCCUUGUUAGUCUCGAGGGACGGAGGAGGCUAGGUUAGUGAAAGAUGGUUAUCGGUUCAAGUACGUAAGGUGUACCUCUUUUUUCAGGGUAAGAAGGGGUAGAAAAAAUUCCUCGAGCCAAUGUUCGAAUACCAGGCGCUACGACGCUGAAGUAACCCAUGCCAUAUGUAAUGACCGGAGAGCACCCCCUAGUCG
RNAcentral lists this non-coding RNA (327 nucleotides) under Solanum tuberosum (potato). RNAcentral's name for it is "Bacterial large subunit ribosomal RNA". It matches the Rfam family "Bacterial large subunit ribosomal RNA", at positions 1316 to 1629 of the family's 2925-position model. The record is from Rfam by way of RNAcentral. Lineage: Eukaryota; Viridiplantae; Streptophyta; Magnoliopsida; Solanales; Solanaceae.